Molecule: non-coding RNA, 3615 nt
Organism: Bactrocera oleae (olive fruit fly)
Lineage: Eukaryota; Metazoa; Arthropoda; Insecta; Diptera; Tephritidae
Source: RefSeq, a predicted model, not a curated record
UUGGACACAAAAUUUCAUCUUUAACAAAACAUUUACAUUUAAUUGAAGUGAAAGGUUUUAUUACGCCAACAACGCAAUUGUGUACAUCAGCUGUUUGAUAUGUCGCUGCCGUCUUCUAAAUGUUCAGGAAUCUGCCGAUCAAAAAAUUUCUCUGUUGUGUAGUUGUGUCGUGCCGGCGUGUCUUUGUGUUCAAAUUUAAAAUUUUCGCUCGCAGUCAUUUGUUUCUUAGUAGCACAGUGUAUUCCUAAGCGUCAUAAAAGCAAAUCAUAUGGUACAAUUUAAGAUGCUAAUUGAAGUCAUAAAGCACAAUGAGCAAUGGACGGCGAUAAGCACAAAACUUCCGAGCGAUUUUAUAUAAUUCUUGAUAAGCAUUCAUACUCACAUAUUAACAUAGGUAUACAUACAUAUAGUACAUACAUAUGAGUAAAAUGUAGAUCAUCCAUAUCAUACCAUCAAAAAUGUCUAAUCUCGACACCCGUUAUUGCACUUCUUCCAUUUAAAUAGUUAAGUAAUCCCUAUUUUAGUACUAAACGCAAUAAAGGGUUCCUUAAGGAUUGGUCGAUUCCCUCAGUAUUAAAAUAUCGAUCUGAGAUUUUGCAUACAUUCUUUUCUCCCCAAGAAGCUCCUCAUUCAGAAAAGCCGAUAUCGGACCACUAUGGCAUACAGCUGCUAUAAAAACUGAUCGAUCCAAACCAACUCUCUCAAAUCUUUAAGAUAUAUCCAAAGCAACGCUACAAUAUGUUCCUAAAAAUGUGACAUACCAUCUUUUAUUUACAUUUUAGAUAAUCUUACUUUCCAAAAACUUACUAAUUUUGAGUUGAAUUGUUUAGUCAAAUAGUUUAAAGUAAUAAAUAAAAUUGACUCGUCAAUAGUACGCAUAUCUGUCGAUAGACACUCGCAUGAUUAUGUGCAAGCACACACACAUACAUGUUAUGUCCAUAGCACUUAUAUACUUUGUUGGAAAUACUCCUAAAUCUCUCAAAAACUAUAUGCCUCUUUAAGCCGCCAUGCUUUCGCGUAUGAAAGUAUAUAGAUAUGUAUGAAAGUGUGAGAAAUUAUAUUUUAGUCUUUUUUUUUUAGCUUUUUUUCAUAGAAGACUGGUAAAGUUUCCAUGCGCCGCUGGCUUUUGGAAGUAUGCUACACUGCUUUAUUUCCAAUCAGUUCUCAAGCAGCUUUUGAUCAAAGUGGUUGAUUCAGUAUCGCAGCAACAAAGUUCGCAAUUACAUUCCCGGUUUUUAAAACGAAUUUGCCGGUCUCAAGUGUUCACCAUUUUGUCUGCUCUCUUAAAUUGACAAACUGCAUUUAAUACUUAAUUAAGGUAAAUUCAGGCCAAAUGUGCACUUAGACCAAUAGCUUACAUAAUUCCUAUUGGACAAAUUCGCAAAGACUUUAAUUUUGUCAGUAUUAAGUGUUUUUUUAAUAAAGUGAAAGAAAUUGGAGAGUGUUCACUGGAACACUUAUCUUAGGUUGUGUGACUUUCACUUGUCACUUCAUGGUUUGCCGGUAGUUGGCUUAAUAAAUUUGGCAUAAUUAGCAUGCAGAAAAAUUUUGUAUUUGAUAGAAUUUUAUACAUUUUUUGGACAGCGGAAAGCCCCCUUAAUAAAGAAGCUCCCAUUACAGGUCUCUAAACAGACGAACGAAGUACCCCAAAACAUGGCUGCCGAAGCUGAGACUCACUUGGAUCAUAUAUGCCGCUUGCAGUUCGACUCAGCGGUGCCACAUGUACGCCUAUCGGGCAUUGUCUGCACCAUUGGACCUGCCUCGCGCAGCGUUGAAAUGUUGGAGAAAAUGAUGGAAACCGGCAUGAAUAUUGCGCGCAUGAACUUCUCUCACGGAUCGCACGAAUACCAUGCCGAAACUGUGGCUAACGUUCGAGUUGCAGCUAAGAACUACUCAGCAAAGAUUGGUUAUGAAUAUCCAAUUGCAAUUGCAUUGGAUACCAAGGGACCUGAGAUCCGUACUGGCCUCAUUGAGGGCAGCGGUACUGGUGAGGUUGAAUUGAAGAGGAAUGAAACCAUCAAACUGUCAACCGACCCAGCCUACCUUGAGAAGGGCAACAAAGACACAAUCUACGUUGAUUAUACUAACAUCGUGAAGGUGGUUAAACCAGGCAAUCGCGUCUUCGUUGAUGACGGUCUCAUCUCAUUAAUCGUUAAGGAAGUGCAAAGCAAUGCUUUGGUAUGCCAAAUUGAAAAUGGUGGCGCCUUGGGCUCACGCAAAGGUGUCAAUUUACCCGGUGUACCCGUCGAUUUGCCAGCUGUGUCCGAGAAAGACAAAUCUGAUUUGAAAUUCGGUGUCGAACAGAAGGUCGAUAUGGUUUUCGCUUCGUUCAUUCGUAACGCCGCAGCGCUUACUGAACUUCGUGGUGUUUUAGGUGAGGAAGGAAAGAACAUCAAGAUUAUUUCGAAGAUUGAAAACCAACAAGGCAUGCAUAAUUUGGAUGAGAUUAUUGAAGCAUCCGACGGUAUUAUGGUGGCACGUGGUGAUUUGGGUAUUGAAAUUCCACCAGAGAAGGUAUUCUUGGCACAGAAGGCGAUGAUUGCCCGCUGCAACAAAGCCGGUAAGCCAGUCAUUUGUGCCACACAAAUGUUGGAGUCCAUGGUAAAGAAACCACGCCCCACACGUGCCGAAAUCUCUGAUGUGGCUAAUGCCAUUCUCGACGGUGCUGACUGUGUGAUGUUGUCCGGCGAGACCGCCAAGGGUGAAUACCCACUCGAAUGUGUGCUGACAAUGGCAAAGACCUGCAAAGAGGCUGAGGCAGCUUUGUGGCAUAGAAAUUUGUUUGCCGAUUUAGUGCGCGCCGCUCACACCUCCACCCUGGAUUCGCCCCAUUCUGUGGCCAUUGCUGCCGUUGAGGCUGCCUCAAAAUCGCUGGCUGCGGCUAUUGUGGUCAUCACGACUUCAGGAAAGUCGGCUCAUCUGAUUAGCAAGUAUCGUCCACGUUGCCCAAUUCUAGCGGUCACACGCUUCCCACAAACCGCUAGACAGGCGCAUUUAUACCGCGGCAUCAUACCACUCGUUUACAAUGAACCCGCUCAACCUGACUGGCUAAAGGAUGUCGAUGCUCGUGUGCAAUUCGGCGUGCAGGUUGGCAAGAAGAACGGUUUCCUUAAAACUGGCGAUGCUGUGGUUAUUGUAACUGGCUGGAAACAGGGUUCUGGAUUCACAAACACCAUGCGUAUUGUGUGCGUAAAUGUAGAUGAAAAUCAAGAGUGUGAAUGCAGUGAAUAAAGCGUAUGAUAACGGAAGUAAUGUAUGAUGAAUGACAGAGUGCAAGUUGAAAUGUUGAGCUGCGAAUUUUUGGAGAAUUUACAUUGAAUAAAGACCAUAGCCGUUGUAAUGCUACCUCGGACUCUGAUAUAACUAGAUGCAUACAUACAUAUAUAGAAAAAUACAUUAAGUAGCGCUCAAGGGAAAGCGCACAACUUCAUCCUGUUGCAGUGAAACUGAAAUACACGUAUUAAAUACAAAUCUACCUUCCGAUCGGUGGACUACAAAAUAAUUUAUUUAAAGGCUACUGUAAUUGAAUGUUGGUAUUAACUUAUCCCCUGCACUAGUGAAGAGGAAUAUUAAAUGUUAUGAAUUACAAAUUUUAAUAAAACAUAAACACAUUCA